This 500-nucleotide ribosomal RNA is filed under the name uncultured bacterium. RNAcentral describes it as "partial 16S ribosomal RNA". It matches the Rfam family "Bacterial small subunit ribosomal RNA", at positions 30 to 523 of the family's 1533-position model. The record is from RNAcentral.
AUUGAACGCUGGCGGCAUGCCUUACACAUGCAGGUCGAACGGCAGCACGGGAGCAAUCCUGGUGGCGAGUGGCGAACGGGUGAGUAAAGUAUCGGAACGUGCCCAGUCGUGGGGGAUAACGUUGCGAAAGUUACGCUAAUACCGCAUACGAUCUAUGGAUGAAAGCGGGGGAUCGCAAGACCUCGCGCGAUUGGAGCGGCCGAUAUCAGAUUAGGUAGUUGGUGGGGUAAAGGCUCACCAAGCCGACGAUCUGUAGCUGGUCUGAGAGGACGACCAGCCACACUGGGGCUGAGACACGGGCCAGACUCCUACGGGAGGCAGCAGUGGGGAAUUUUGGACAAUGGGCGAAAGCCUGAUCCAGCCAUGCCGCGUGCAGGAUGAAGGCCUUCGGGUUGUAAACUGCUUUUGUACGGAACGAAAAGGUUUGGCCUAAUAAGCUGAGCUCAUGACGGUACCGUAAGAAUAAGCACCGGCUAACUACGUGCCAGCCGCCGCGGUAA